RNAcentral lists this ribosomal RNA (237 nucleotides) under Palpitomonas bilix. RNAcentral describes it as "partial Bacterial large subunit ribosomal RNA". It matches the Rfam family "Bacterial large subunit ribosomal RNA", at positions 845 to 1081 of the family's 2925-position model. The record is from RNAcentral.
AUAGCUGGUUCUCCCCGAAAGCUAUUUAGGUAGCGCCUCGGACGAAUACCACAGGGGGGAGAGCACUGUUUCGGCUAGGGGGUCAUCCCGACUUACCAACCCGAUGCAAACUCCGAAUACCUGUGAGUACUAUCCGGGAGACACACGGCGGGGGCUAACGUCCGUCGUGGGGGGGGGAAAAAACCAGACCCCCAGCUAAAGUCCCAAAAUAUUGCUAAAGGGGAAACGAUGGGGGGA